RNAcentral lists this ribosomal RNA (871 nucleotides) under uncultured Bacteroidota bacterium. RNAcentral describes it as "bacterial SSU rRNA". It matches the Rfam family "Bacterial small subunit ribosomal RNA", at positions 463 to 1340 of the family's 1533-position model. The record is from RNAcentral. Lineage: Bacteria; Pseudomonadati; Bacteroidota.
GGGAGAUUGACGGUACUGUAGGAAUAAGGACCGGCUAACUCCGUGCCAGCAGCCGCGGUAAUACGGAGGGUCCGAGCGUUAUCCGGAAUCAUUGGGUUUAAAGGGUCCGUAGGUGGGGUUCUAAGUCAGAGGUGAAAGGUUGCAGCUCAACUGUAGAAUUGCCUUUGAUACUGGAGCUCUUGAGUUAUGUUGCUGUGGCCGGAACAUGUGGUGUAGCGGUGAAAUGCAUAGAUAUCACAUAGAACACCGAUUGCGAAGGCAGGUCACAAAGCAUACACUGACACUGAGGGACGAAAGCGUGGGGAGCGAACGGGAUUAGAUACCCCGGUAGUCCACGCCGUAAACGAUGGAUACUAGCUGUUGGGUUUUCGGACUCGGCGGCCAAGCGAAAGUGAUAAGUAUCCCACCUGGGGAGUACGUUCGCAAGAAUGAAACUCAAAGGAAUUGACGGGGGCCCGCACAAGCGGUGGAGCAUGUGGUUUAAUUCGAUGAUACGCGAGGAACCUUACCAGGGCUUAAAUGGGAGGUGACCGGGUCAGAGACGACCCUUUCUUCGGACAUCUUUCAAGGUGCUGCAUGGUUGUCGUCAGCUCGUGCCGUGAGGUGUCAGGUUAAGUCCUAUAACGAGCGCAACCCCUGCCGUUAGUUGCCAGCGAGUCAAGUCGGGGACUCUAACGGGACUGCCGGUGCAAACCGAGAGGAAGGUGGGGACGACGUCAAAUCAUCACGGCCCUUACGUCCUGGGCUACACACGUGCUACAAUGGUCGGUACAAUGGGAAGCCACCCCGUGAGGGGGCGCGGAUCUUAAAAGCCGAUCACAGUUCGGAUCGGGGUCUGCAACUCGACCCCGUGAAGCUGGAAUCGCUAGUA